Molecule: ribosomal RNA, 253 nt
Filed under: uncultured bacterium
Lineage: Bacteria
Description: partial 16S ribosomal RNA
Rfam family: Bacterial small subunit ribosomal RNA
Source: RNAcentral
UACGUAGGGGGCAAGCGUUGUCCGGAUUUAUUGGGCGUAAAGCGCACGUAGGCGGCCUCAUAAGUCGGAUGUGAAAUCCCACGGCUCAACCGUGGAAGUGCAUCCGAAACUGCGAGGCUCGAGUAUGGAAGAGGGUCGCAGAAUUCCCGGUGUAGAGGUGAAAUUCGUAGAUAUCGGGAGGAAUACCAGUGGCGAAGGCGGCGACCUGGGCCAAUACUGACGCUGAGGUGCGAAAGCGUGGGGAGCAAACAGG